GGAUCCAGACUUUGAUUCUGGCUCAGGACGAGCGCUGGCGGCGUGCCUAAUACAUGCAAGUCGAACGAAGCUUUCUUUCACCGAAUGCUUGCAUUCACCGAAAGAAGCUUAGUGGCGAACGGGUGAGUAACACGUAGGCAACCUGCCCAAAAGAGGGGGAUAACACUUGGAAACAGGUGCUAGUACCGCAUAACCAUGAACACCGCAUGAUGUUCAUGUAAAAGACGGCUUUUGCUGUCACUUUUGGAUGGGCCUGCGGCGUAUUAACUUGUUGGUGGGGUAACGGCCUACCAAGGUGAUGAUACGUAGCCGAACUGAGAGGUUGAUCGGCCACAUUGGGACUGAGACACGGCCCAAACUCCUACGGGAGGCAGCAGUAGGGAAUCUUCCACAAUGGACGAAAGUCUGAUGGAGCAACGCCGCGUGAAUGAAGAAGGCCUUCGGGUCGUAAAAUUCUGUUGUCAGAGAAGAACGUGCGUGAGAGUAACUGUUCACGUAUUGACGGUAUCUGACCAGAAAGCCACGGCUAACUACGUGCCAGCAGCCGCGGUAAUACGUAGGUGGCGAGCGUUGUCCGGAUUUAUUGGGCGUAAAGGGAACGCAGGCGGUCUUUUAAGUCUGAUGUGAAAGCCUUCGGCUUAACCGAAGUAGUGCAUUGGAAACUGGAAGACUUGGGUGCAGAAGAGGAGAGUGGAACUCCAUGUGUAGCGGUGAAAUGCGUAGAUAUAUGGAAGAACACCAGUGGCGAAAGCGGCUCUCUGGUCUGUAACUGACGCUGAGGUUCGAAAGCGUGGGUAGCAAACAGGAUUAGAUACCCUGGUAGUCCACGCCGUAAACGAUGAGUGCUAAAUGUUGGAGGGUUUCCGCCCUUCAGUGAUGCAGCUAACGCAUUAAGCACUCCGCCUGGGGAGUACGGUAGAAGGACUGCAACUCAAAUGAAUUGACGG
RNAcentral lists this ribosomal RNA (947 nucleotides) under uncultured bacterium. Its description in RNAcentral is "bacterial SSU rRNA". It matches the Rfam family "Bacterial small subunit ribosomal RNA", at positions 1 to 916 of the family's 1533-position model. The record is from RNAcentral.